UCGAGCGGUAGCACAGAGAGCUUGCUCUCGGGUGACGAGCGGCGGACGGGUGAGUAUUGUCUGGGAAACUGCCUGAUGGAGGGGGAUAACUACUGGAAACGGUAGCUAAUACCGCAUAACGUCGCAAGACCAAAGUGGGGGACCUUCGGGCCUCAUGCCAUCAGAUGUGCCCAGAUGGGAUUAGCUAGUAGGUGGGGUAACGGCUCACCUAGGCGACGAUCCCUAGCUGGUCUGAGAGGAUGACCAGCCACACUGGAACUGAGACACGGUCCAGACUCCUACGGGAGGCAGCAGUGGGGAAUAUUGCACAAUGGGCGCAAGCCUGAUGCAGCCAUGCCGCGUGUGUGAAGAAGGCCUUCGGGUUGUAAAGCACUUUCAGCGGGGAGGAAGGCGAUAAGGUUAAUAACCUUGGCGAUUGACGUUACCCGCAGAAGAAGCACCGGCUAACUCCGUGCCAGCAGCCGCGGUAAUACGGAGGGUGCAAGCGUUAAUCGGAAUUACUGGGCGUAAAGCGCACGCAGGCGGUCUGUCAAGUCGGAUGUGAAAUCCCCGGGCUCAACCUGGGAACUGCAUUCGAAACUGGCAGGCUAGAGUCUUGUAGAGGGGGGUAGAAUUCCAGGUGUAGCGGUGAAAUGCGUAGAGAUCUGGAGGAAUACCGGUGGCGAAGGCGGCCCCCUGGACAAAGACUGACGCUCAGGUG
RNAcentral lists this ribosomal RNA (700 nucleotides) under Klebsiella pneumoniae. Its description in RNAcentral is "bacterial SSU rRNA". It matches the Rfam family "Bacterial small subunit ribosomal RNA", at positions 62 to 753 of the family's 1533-position model. The record is from RNAcentral. Lineage: Bacteria; Pseudomonadati; Pseudomonadota; Gammaproteobacteria; Enterobacterales; Enterobacteriaceae.